GGGGAUGUAGCUCAGUUGGUAGAGUGCUUGCCUAGUGUGCAUGAAUCCAUGGGUCUCAUCCCCA
RNAcentral lists this transfer RNA (64 nucleotides) under Neotoma lepida (desert woodrat). It matches the Rfam family "tRNA". From Rfam's summary of the family: Transfer RNA (tRNA) molecules are approximately 80 nucleotides in length. Their secondary structure includes four short double-helical elements and three loops (D, anti-codon, and T loops). Lineage: Eukaryota; Metazoa; Chordata; Mammalia; Rodentia; Cricetidae. The record is from Rfam by way of RNAcentral.